This 1548-nucleotide ribosomal RNA is filed under the name Klebsiella pneumoniae. RNAcentral describes it as "bacterial SSU rRNA". It matches the Rfam family "Bacterial small subunit ribosomal RNA". Lineage: Bacteria; Pseudomonadati; Pseudomonadota; Gammaproteobacteria; Enterobacterales; Enterobacteriaceae. The record is from RNAcentral.
AAAUUGAAGAGUUUGAUCAUGGCUCAGAUUGAACGCUGGCGGCAGGCCUAACACAUGCAAGUCGAGCGGUAGCACAGAGAGCUUGCUCUCGGGUGACGAGCGGCGGACGGGUGAGUAAUGUCUGGGAAACUGCCUGAUGGAGGGGGAUAACUACUGGAAACGGUAGCUAAUACCGCAUAAUGUCGCAAGACCAAAGUGGGGGACCUUCGGGCCUCAUGCCAUCAGAUGUGCCCAGAUGGGAUUAGCUAGUAGGUGGGGUAACGGCUCACCUAGGCGACGAUCCUAGCUGGUCUGAGAGGAUGACCAGCCACACUGGAACUGAGACACGGUCCAGACUCCUACGGGAGGCAGCAGUGGGGAAUAUUGCACAAUGGGCGCAAGCCUGAUGCAGCCAUGCCGCGUGUGUGAAGAAGGCCUUCGGGUUGUAAAGCACUUUCAGCGGGGAGGAAGGCGAUAAGGUUAAUAACCUUGUCGAUUGACGUUACCCGCAGAAGAAGCACCGGCUAACUCCGUGCCAGCAGCCGCGGUAAUACGGAGGGUGCAAGCGUUAAUCGGAAUUACUGGGCGUAAAGCGCACGCAGGCGGUCUGUCAAGUCGGAUGUGAAAUCCCGGGCUCAACCUGGGAACUGCAUUCGAAACUGGCAGGCUAGAGUCUUGUAGAGGGGGGUAGAAUUCCAGGUGUAGCGGUGAAAUGCGUAGAGAUCUGGAGGAAUACCGGUGGCGAAGGCGGCCCCCUGGACAAAGACUGACGCUCAGGUGCGAAAGCGUGGGGAGCAAACAGGAUUAGAUACCCUGGUAGUCCACGCCGUAAACGAUGUCGAUUUGGAGGUUGUGCCCUUGAGGCGUGGCUUCCGGAGCUAACGCGUUAAAUCGACCGCCUGGGGAGUACGGCCGCAAGGUUAAAACUCAAAUGAAUUGACGGGGGCCCGCACAAGCGGUGGAGCAUGUGGUUUAAUUCGAUGCAACGCGAAGAACCUUACCUGGUCUUGACAUCCACAGAACUUUCCAGAGAUGGAUUGGUGCCUUCGGGAACUGUGAGACAGGUGCUGCAUGGCUGUCGUCAGCUCGUGUUGUGAAAUGUUGGGUUAAGUCCCGCAACGAGCGCAACCCUUAUCCUUUGUUGCCAGCGGUUAGGCCGGGAACUCAAAGGAGACUGCCAGUGAUAAACUGGAGGAAGGUGGGGAUGACGUCAAGUCAUCAUGGCCCUUACGACCAGGGCUACACACGUGCUACAAUGGCAUAUACAAAGAGAAGCGACCUCGCGAGAGCAAGCGGACCUCAUAAAGUAUGUCGUAGUCCGGAUUGGAGUCUGCAACUCGACUCCAUGAAGUCGGAAUCGCUAGUAAUCGUAGAUCAGAAUGCUACGGUGAAUACGUUCCCGGGCCUUGUACACACCGCCCGUCACACCAUGGGAGUGGGUUGCAAAAGAAGUAGGUAGCUUAACCUUCGGGAGGGCGCUUACCACUUUGUGAUUCAUGACUGGGGUGAAGUCGUAACAAGGUAACCGUAGGGGAACCUGCGGUUGGAUCACCUCCUUACCUUAAAGAA